AGACGACGCUGGCGGCGUGCCUAAUACAUGCAAGUCGAGCGAACAGACGAGGUGCUUGCACCUCACUCUGUUAGCGGCGGAUGGGUGAGUAACACGUGGGCAACCUGCCCUACAGUUGGGGAUAACUCCGGAAACCGGGGCUAAUACCGAAUGAUUAAUUUAAUCUCAUGAUUGAAUUAUAAAAGAUGGUUUCGGCUAUCGCUGUAGGAUGGGCCCGCGGCGCAUUAGCUAGUUGGUGGGGUAACGGCCUACCAAGGCAACGAUGCGUAGCCGACCUGAGAGGGUGAUCGGCCACACUGGGACUGAGACACGGCCCAGACUCCUACGGGAGGCAGCAGUAGGGAAUCUUCCACAAUGGACGAAAGUCUGAUGGAGCAACGCCGCGUGAGUGAUGAAGGUUUUCGGAUCGUAAAACUCUGUUGCGAGGGAAGAACAAGUACGAGAGUAACUGCUCGUACCUUGACGGUACCUCGUUAGAAAGCCACGGCUAACUACGUG
This 498-nucleotide ribosomal RNA is filed under the name uncultured Sporosarcina sp. RNAcentral describes it as "bacterial SSU rRNA". It matches the Rfam family "Bacterial small subunit ribosomal RNA", at positions 32 to 507 of the family's 1533-position model. The record is from RNAcentral. Lineage: Bacteria; Bacillati; Bacillota; Bacilli; Caryophanales; Caryophanaceae.